AGAAUCAAACAACUUAACAAACCUGUUUAAUGCAAAAAAGAAGCACAACCACAUAUUUCACAGGUUCAAGCUAUGUACAAAAACCACAGAGCAAUCUGAUGUUACUAGGCUACAUAUACACGAAUGGAUUGAACAAAACUAUCAAUCCUUUUCCUUAUCUCUUCUGGAUUGGCACCCACUAGCUUGUCAACUACAGCCCCUUCCCUCAUCAGCAAAAAUGUUGGCAUGGCCUUUACCUCCAGUUUAGACGCCACAUCCUGACCAAGCAGGCAGAAAGAUCACAGAAUAAGAAUCAAACAAUCAAGCAUUAAUUUACUGGGCCUCUCUUUAUCACAUAGUUAUUACAGACAGAUUGAACAAUGUUCAUGAACUACCUUGUCAACUCUAAGGCAGCUGUUAAGUUACAUUACAUGUAACUUAUAGUUGACCCAAAAGUAGUUUCCCAUGACCCCUAGUUAUUUGACAAGCAACAACUGAGUCAUACAAGAAAACUUGAUUUUGGGUAGUUAGCAAGACCCCUAACUUUAACAGGUAAAAGAUUUAUCCAAAAACAUGAACACCGCAUUCAAAAUAUGGUUUUUAUUAGGUGGUUAUGAUCACCUAACUUUCAUGACACUUGGUAAUGAAAGAUUCUCAAAUUAACCAUGGAUAAGAAGGAAACUUGAAAAAUUAUAAAUUGUUUAGAACUCAUCAGUUGGUGAAAAUUGCAAAAAAAAUUAAUUAUAGAGUAAAAUAAUUAUAAUAUCUGCUUUUCGGUUU
This 759-nucleotide long non-coding RNA is filed under the name Citrus x clementina. RNAcentral's name for it is "Citrus clementina (C. clementina) long non-coding RNA (CCLE_LNC005697)". Lineage: Eukaryota; Viridiplantae; Streptophyta; Magnoliopsida; Sapindales; Rutaceae. The record is from RNAcentral.